AAAACUUUCAACAACGGAUCUCUUGGUUCCAGCAUCGAUGAAGAACGCAGCGAAAUGCGAUAAGUAAUGUGAAUUGCAGAAUUCAGUGAAUCAUCGAAUCUUUGAACGCACAUUGCGCCCCCUGGUAUUCCGGGGGGCAUGCCUGUUCGAGCGUCAUU
This 158-nucleotide ribosomal RNA is filed under the name Parmelia sulcata. Its description in RNAcentral is "5.8S ribosomal RNA". It matches the Rfam family "5.8S ribosomal RNA". Rfam says of the family: 5.8S ribosomal RNA (5.8S rRNA) is a component of the large subunit of the eukaryotic ribosome. It is transcribed by RNA polymerase I as part of the 45S precursor that also contains 18S and 28S rRNA. Functionally, it is thought that 5.8S rRNA may be involved in ribosome translocation. Lineage: Eukaryota; Fungi; Ascomycota; Lecanoromycetes; Lecanorales; Parmeliaceae. The record is from RNAcentral. RNAcentral also lists the same sequence under 4 other names.